Molecule: transfer RNA, 76 nt
Filed under: Lonepinella koalarum
Lineage: Bacteria; Pseudomonadati; Pseudomonadota; Gammaproteobacteria; Pasteurellales; Pasteurellaceae
Description: tRNA-Ile
Rfam family: tRNA
About the family: Transfer RNA (tRNA) molecules are approximately 80 nucleotides in length. Their secondary structure includes four short double-helical elements and three loops (D, anti-codon, and T loops).
Source: RNAcentral
GCCCCCGUAGCUCAGCGGUCAGAGCAGACGACUCAUAAUCGUUUGGUCGCUGGUUCAAACCCAGCCGGGGGCACCA